This 503-nucleotide ribosomal RNA is filed under the name uncultured bacterium. RNAcentral describes it as "partial 16S ribosomal RNA". It matches the Rfam family "Bacterial small subunit ribosomal RNA", at positions 30 to 523 of the family's 1533-position model. The record is from RNAcentral.
AUUGAACGCUGGCGGCAGGCUUAACACAUGCAAGUCGAGCGGGGUGAUGGUGCUUGCACUAUCACUUAGCGGCGGACGGGUGAGUAAUGCUUAGAAAUCUGCCUAUUAGUGGGGGACAACAUCUCGAAAGGGAUGCUAAUACCGCAUACGUCCUACGGGAGAAAGCAGGGGAUCACUUGUGACCUUGCGCUAAUAGAUGAGCCUAAGUCGGAUUAGCUAGUUGGUGGGGUAAAGGCCUACCAAGGCGACGAUCUGUAGCGGGUCUGAGAGGAUGAUCCGCCACACUGGGACUGAGACACGGCCCAGACUCCUACGGGAGGCAGCAGUGGGGAAUAUUGGACAAUGGGGGGAACCCUGAUCCAGCCAUGCCGCGUGUGUGAAGAAGGCCUUAUGGUUGUAAAGCACUUUAAGCGAGGAGGAGGUUCUUUUGGUUAAUACCCAAGAUGAGUGGACGUUACUCGCAGAAUAAGCACCGGCUAACUCUGUGCCAGCAGCCGCGGUAA